CAACCUGGUGUGGCGCGGCGAGGCGGGCGCGGCGGCGCGGCAGGCGCGGCUCGCCUCGCUCGGCGUGCUGCGCGCGCUGCAGCUGCUGCGCCAGCGCCGCGACCACCAGCUGCACGACAAAGUGAAGACGGCCCUGGCUCAGUUCAGCGAUUUCACAUAAUACCGCCGCAGCCCGAGGCGCAAGCGACCGCGUCGCGAAUAACUCGAGUCUCUCGAGUCCCAAGCUCGAGUCUCGAGUCUCAAGCCGCGAGUCCCGCGCCGGAGGUCAACAUGUGAUAGUCCACGGACAGUGAGUUUUCCAGUCAUACAGUAAUUUAGUUCUCAACGUUAACGUAAGCCAAAGUAACGACACUAAACAAGUAGAAUUUCGUAUACUGACCCGCCUUUUCCUAUCUCUAUCGCACGCGUAUACUAAUUAUAUUACUGUCCCGGUCGCACAGUGGAUUUAAUAUGGGCAGGACAGCCCAUAAUAAAUCCACAUAAUAAUCCACAUAAUGUCGCGCGUGCGACAGAGAUAGGGUCAGGCGGGUAAAUGUACGAAAUCCUUCGUGCUUCGCGUCCUUACAUUAACUAGGACUUUAAGGUUUAUUGUACAUAGCUAAGUUCGCUUAAUUGUUAUCUCGUCUUAUGAAACGUUAUUGACUAUUUAUUUUUAAUAUAAAGUUGACAUUGAAUGUCUACUCGAACCCGAUUCGAUAGGACCAUUGCCAUGGUGUUGAAAAUUAAAUUAAAUUUAUUGGCUUCAAAACUAAUUGGUACAUAUUAUUUUUUAACUAGCAGAAAUGUUUGCGAACGAUGCUAAUAAGGUUAGAAUAAAUUUAUAAGUGGAAAAAAUACUGUCUUGGGUGAGACUUGAACUCACGGCCUCUGGAUCGACACUCCAGCCCCGCAGAGCGAGCACAGAUACCGGCGCACCAGAGACGCGUGAGUUCAUGUCUAACCCAAGACAGUAAUUUUUCCACUUUUAAAUUAAUUGGUAAAUAUCAGAUAUUUCACUGGUUUUUUUAAACUUUGUGAUAUAUUGAAUACUUUUCAGUGUCCAAAAUACACGUUUUGAAAAAUUUACUAAAUUAAAUUUUUCAUGUUUUAAACUUAAAAGUUGUUUUCAACGACAGAGGUGCUAAACCCUCGCGCACUUCAGGCUGGGUACAAAGAAUCAUCAGUAAAAAUAAACUAAUAUCAAUAAAAAAUAGUGCAGUUAUAGUAACUGUUGGUGAACCUUUAAAUAAAAUAAAAUAAAUUGUCAUGCGAAAAUAGAUCUUUUCUCAACGACACAAAGUCUUAUAUUUACAAAACUUUUCACACUAUCUCUGCAAGGUGUUUUUCAUAAACAUUUGUCAAAUCUAACAAACCGUUAUUUAUCGUUUGUUACUAACCGUCUUUUUGACAUUUCUGUUUGUUAGAA
Cydia fagiglandana is the source of this 1405-nucleotide long non-coding RNA. RefSeq lists it as uncharacterized. The record is from RefSeq and is a predicted model, not a curated record. The transcript has 2 exons. NCBI's taxonomy places the organism in Eukaryota, Metazoa, Arthropoda, Insecta, Lepidoptera, Tortricidae.